UUAUUGGAGAGUUUGAUCCUGGCUCAGGACGAACGCUGGCGGCGUGCCUAACACAUGCAAGUCGAACGGAGUA
This is a ribosomal RNA of Sporomusa malonica, 73 nucleotides long. It matches the Rfam family "Bacterial small subunit ribosomal RNA", at positions 1 to 73 of the family's 1533-position model. NCBI's taxonomy places the organism in Bacteria, Bacillati, Bacillota, Negativicutes, Selenomonadales, Sporomusaceae. The record is from Rfam.